RNAcentral lists this long non-coding RNA (182 nucleotides) under Mustela putorius furo (domestic ferret). RNAcentral describes it as "lncRNA (ENSMPUG00000030659.1)". The record is from RNAcentral. Lineage: Eukaryota; Metazoa; Chordata; Mammalia; Carnivora; Mustelidae.
GGGGAAUAACUCCCUUAGCAACAGCCAAGCCACGCGAUGUCCCUCAUGGAAAUUCUCACCAAAUGUCACAGAUGGUACUGUGGUUGGAAAUCUUUACAGCAUUCCAGUGGAACCAUUAUGCCUUUGAUGCGUCACUCCGCCAAGGCCCAGGAACUAUGGAACAUAUUACCUUACCAAGAAAG